Molecule: long non-coding RNA, 255 nt
Filed under: Oryctolagus cuniculus (rabbit)
Lineage: Eukaryota; Metazoa; Chordata; Mammalia; Lagomorpha; Leporidae
Description: lncRNA (ENSOCUG00000030249.1)
Source: RNAcentral
AGAGGGAAAACAAUUAAGGGUUCAUCUCUGAAACAUGAAUAACAAAUAUAUGUGCAUUCAUUACAGUCUCACUCUUUUUUUAUUCUUUUGUUUUUAAAAGAUCAGAACAAGGGUAGAGAUUUUCAGGCCUUUGAAAACAUUUCACAGAUUGCUUGGGCAGCCAGGAUGCCCUUUUAAACUCUCCAUCUGACUGACUGUCGGCAUCCUUUCCUACAGAGCACAGGACUCUGCCGCAGUGAUCCCUUCAUUCAUCAU